CGAACGCUGGAGGUAUGCCUCAUACAUGCAAGUCGUACGGGGUUGAGAGAGCUUGCUUUUUCAACCUAGUGGCGCACGGGUGAGUAACGCGUGGGUAACCUGCCUUAAAGUCUGGGAUAACAUUGGGAAACCAAUGCUAAUACUGGAUAACCCCGAAUUUCGUAUGAAGUCCGGGUGAAAGCUGCACUCUAUUUAUAAGGUAGCGCUUUUCGAGGGGCCCGCGUCCUAUUAGUUAGUUGGUAGGGUAAUGGCCUACCAAGACAGAGAUGGGUAGCCGGCUUGAGAGAGUGAUCGGCCACACUGGAACUGAGACACGGUCCAGACUCCUACGGGAGGCAGCAGUAGGGAAUAUUCCGCAAUGGGCGAAAGCCUGACGGAGCAAUACCUCGUGAGUGAAGAAGGCUUUAGGGUCGUAAAGCUCAGUCAGCAGGGAAGAAGGUCUUGUAUGAGAAUAUUGUACAGGAAUUGACGGUACCUGCAGAGGAAGCCACGGCUAAUUAC
RNAcentral lists this ribosomal RNA (501 nucleotides) under uncultured bacterium. RNAcentral's name for it is "bacterial SSU rRNA". It matches the Rfam family "Bacterial small subunit ribosomal RNA", at positions 30 to 504 of the family's 1533-position model. The record is from RNAcentral.